This 4921-nucleotide long non-coding RNA is filed under the name Sus scrofa (pig). RNAcentral's name for it is "lncRNA (ENSSSCG00050005424.1)". The record is from RNAcentral. Lineage: Eukaryota; Metazoa; Chordata; Mammalia; Artiodactyla; Suidae.
UUUUUUUUUUUUUUUUUUGCUUUUUCUAGGGCCGCUCCUGCGGCAUAUGGAGGUUCCCAGGCGAGGGGUCCAAUCAGAGCUGCAGCCGCCGGCCUCCACCACAGCCACAGCCACGCCAGACCUGAGCCGCAUCUGCGACCGACACCACAGCUCACGGCAGGGAUGGAACCCGCACCCUCACGGUUCCUCGUCGGAUUCGUUCAUGCCGGGAACUCCUGUCUUGCUUGGUUUCUUGAUGUCGCACAGCAGCGCCCUGUGCUAGCUAGUGCCCGUUGGCUCGGUGUUGUGUUGGAGGUGCGUCUGUGUGGUUGAUGUGCCAGUUCAUCGUUCUUUUUCAUGGCGUGCAGCUUUCCAUGGCUUGGAUAGUCCACAGCUUAGCCACUCUAAUACUGGUGGAGGUUUGGCUUAUUUUAUGACUGAUGUGAAUCAAGCUGGUAGGCACGUUCCUGUAUGUGGGUUUUGGCGGAUAAGAGUGCUCCUUUUGGGGCGUUCCUGCUGUGGCUCAGCAGCUUACGAACCUGACUAGCGGUAUUCAUGAGGAUGCAGGUUCGAUGCCUAGCCUCUCUCAGUGGGCUAAGGAUCCUCUGAGGGUUCCUGUGAGCUGUGGUGUAGGUCCCAGACGAGGCUCAGAUCCCACAUUGCCGUGGCUGUGGUAUAGGGCAGCAGCUGCAGCUCUGAUUGGAUCCCUAGCCCAGGACACACGCAGCAAAGGAACAAAAAAGUGCUUCUUUUUCUUGAGUAUAUACCUGAAGUGAAAUUGCUGACAAUUCAUGUGGUCUGACUUUAGAGGAUACUGCCUGAGAGUUUUUCUAAGUGGUUUUAUUAUAUGCUAAUUAAAAAAAUUAGCACGGUGGUAAAACACACGCACAUUUUUAUUGUACGGUCAUUUGAACUUUAAUGCGGAUGUAGAUUCGUGUAUUCACUGCUACGUCACAGUCAGGACGCAGAGCAGUUCCAGCACCCAGAAAAGCUCCCUCUUGCUGUUCCUGGGCAGUCACGCUCUCCACCACCCUUAACUCUGGACAGCCAGGACUUCCUUGCUGUGAUUUUUGUCUUUGGGAGAAGUCAUAUAAAUGGAAUCAUAUGGUGUGUAACUUUUUUAAAUCUUUUUUUUUUUUGAGGCCUGCACUCGAGGCAUAUGGAGGUUCCCAGUCUAGGGGUCGAAUUGGAGCCGUAGCCGCUGGCCUAUGCUACGGCCACGGGAAUACCAGAUCCUAGCCUCCUCCGCUGCCUAUACCACAGCUCAUGGCAACUCCAGAUCCUUGACCUGCUGAGCAAGGCCAGGGUUCAGACCUGCGUCCUCAUGGAUCCUAGUCAGGUUCGUUUCUGCUGCGCCACAACGGGAACUCCAGUAUGAAACUUUGGGAGGCUGGUUCCUUUCACCUGUAGUCACACUGAGCUUCAUCCUUGUUGUUGCAGGUACCAGUGGCUGCUUUUUACUGCCACGUCAAGACCUGUGCCGAAGCUUGCAGUGUUCCUUUGUAUGGAUUUCGCACAAUUACCUGUUCUCCCAUCGGUGCAUGUUGAGGUUUCGAUGAUGAUAAAUAGGGCUUCCGUAAACAAUUGUGUGUAGGGUUUUGUGUGAAAGUAAAUGUUCAGUUCUCGGGGGUAGAUACCAAGGAGCCGGAACAGGGUCAUGAGAGAAUGUUAUAGGAAGUUGCCAAGCUGUUUUUCGGAAUGGCUGUACCAUUUUGACCUUCCACCAGCAGUGAUGACAGUUAGUUGCCCUGCGUCCAAGCUAACAUCCAUAUUGUCAGUAGAUUUUAUUUUAACCAUUUUAAUAAGUAGAUGUGUGGUGGCGUUGUGGUUUUAAGUUACAUUUCCCUAAUGACUGCUGCUAUCGAACACUUAACAUAUGUUUGUUUGCCAUUCUUGUAUCCUCUUGGGUGAAGUGUUUGAGACUCCGCUUAUUUAUUUAUUUGUUAAUUUUUGGCUGCUCCCAUGGCGUAUGGAAGUUCCCUGGCGAGGGGUCAGACCCAAGCUGCUGCUGUGACCUAGGCCAUAGCUGCAGCAACGCAUUGCGUCAGGCUGGGGAUCAAACCUGCACUUCCACAGAGACAAGCUGCAUUACAGUGGGAACUCCUGUUUUUUUUUUUACUCUUGAGUGUUUUUGGGGUUUUUUUUAGGGCCACACCUGAGACAUAUGGAAGUUCCUGGGCUAGGGAUUCAAUCGAGCUGCAGUUGCCACCCUACACCAAGCACAGCGAUGCCGAUGCCGGAUCGGAGCCGCAUCUGCGACCUGUGCUGCGGUUGCAGCAGAGCUGGAUCAAGGCCAGGGAUCAAAUCUGCAUCUUCAUGGAUACUAGUUGGGUUUUUAUUUUUUUGCUCUUUAGGGUCACACCUGCAACAUAUGGAAGUUUCCAGGCUAAGGGUCAAAUUGGAGCUGCAUCUGCUGGCCUACACCACAGCCACAGCCACCCUGACUCCUUAACCUACUGACUGAGGCCAGGGAUCGAACCCGAAUCUUCAUGGAUACUAGUCUGGUUCGGAACCUACUGAGCCACAGCGGGAACUCCACCGGUUGCGUCCUUAACCCUCUGAGCCGCGCUGGGAAUGCCUCUUUUGUGCGGGUUAUUUCUGGACUCGAUUCUGCUCUGUUGGUCUGUGGGUCUAUCCCAUCGCCUAUACACGACAGGCAAAAACUUCCAAGAUGAUUUCUCCAACUGAAAAAAAGUGUUUUUGGUAUUUAGUCAUUUUUUUGGUUUUGUUUUGUUUUUGUUUUUGUUUUCUGUUUUUUUGUCUUUUUGCCAUUUCUUGGGCCGCUCCCACGGCAUAUGGGGGUUCCCAGGCUAGGGGUCGAAUCGGAGCUGAAGCCACUGGCCUACGCCAGAGCCACAGCAACGCGGGAUCCGAGCCGCGUCUGCGACCUACACCACAGCUCACGGCAACGCCGGAUCGUUAACCCACUGAGCAAGGACAGGGACCGAACCCGCAACCUCAUGGUUCCUAGUUGGGUUCGUUAACCACUGCGCCACGCCGGGAACUCCCAUUUGUUUUUUUUUUUUUUAAUACAUUUUAGAAUCAACUUGUCCAUGUCUACAAAUAAUUCUAGUAUUUAAUUUGAGGAGUUCCCUCAUGGCUCAAAGGGGUAAGAAUCUGGCAUUUCACUGCAGUAGCUCUGGUAACUGUGACACAGGUUCCAUCCUGGCCGGGAACUUGCACAUGCCAAAAAAACCAGUAAUUUGAAUCUCCUUAAAACUGUAGGUCAGUUUGGCGGGGAGCCGAGGUAUUUGCUGUUGACUCUUCCAGUCUGUGAACACGGCGUGUGUUUCUCUCUGGUCGUCUUUGAUUUGUGGAUUCAUUGGCAUUUUCCCGGUGAGUCGUCAUAUUGUCUGCGAGUAGGGCAUUUUUUGGUUUGUCUUCCACCCUGGGUGCCUUUUCCUUCCUUUGCUUGCUUGCUUUCGUGCGCUUGGUAGGGCUUUAGAACCGUUUCCUUGUUCUUGAUUUUCGGGGGAGCAUCCAGCCUGUCGCAGUGUGUCUGCUGGAGGGUUUUCCUCAGAUGCCCGUUGCCAUGAUGGGGAAGUUUUUAAGUUUCUAUUCACAGAUACGAAAGCUUGUCAGGUGCUUUUUUGGAUCGGUUGGUGUGGCCGUGUUUUUCUCUUCUUUAGACUGGGGUGUGUGUGUGUGUGUGAGAGAGACCCCACUUGGUCAGGGGUGUGUGUGUGUGUGUGAGUGAGACGUUCCCGGGCCGGGGCUGGAACCUGUGCCUUAGCAGCCCCUUGGGCCGUUGCGGUGGCCCUGCUGGCCCCUUGGCCCUGCCCCAGAGGAGGGCGCACCUUACCCGCGUUUUGUUGAGCGUUGCUGUGUCUGUUUUAUAAGGACGUGUCCAUCGUUCUUGUUUUAUGACAUCCUUGCCUGGCUUUUCCUUGAUGACACCUUUGCUUGUUCUUCUUGCUGUACCUUGUCAGCCAGACUCUGGCCAAAUGGACAGGCUCUUGUCUUUCUUGCUCUCAGCUGGCUUCCGUCCGCUUUGGCGUCCCAGCGCCUUUGUCUGGCACUGGGGCAGCCACGUUGUUCUGCUUGUGUGGUGGGGCCUGCACGGCGUGGACGGGCCACGUCCUUCUCACCUCUGUGCCUUUGUUGGGCUGUUUCUGCGUAGCGUUUCUCUUCCUUCUUUGCCCAGUGACCGCUGCGUCUUCCCAGGAGGGGUCGCGUGCUGUCUCUGUGGGAAGCAUUGCCAUCACCAUGCUAGGCCUGGCUGUUGCUGCCCGUCUGGGUUCCCCUGGAGCCUGUCCUCAGCUGGGCCAGAGACGUUAGACUGGGUUGCAGUCAUUGCUUUAUCGGAACGUUUUCUUCCUUUUUCUUUUUGUUCAUUUACUUAUUUUUUAGAUACUGUUUCAUUAUUUAUUUUACUGCCCUUGCUUAUGGGCCUUCCGGGCUCUCUGCCGUCCACGUGUGGCACUGUCGUGGUGUCUCCUUCCCUCCGGCUUUGGUGAACGUGCUCACCCCCUUGCCUGCAGCACUCACCUUGAUGCAGGAGAGUCUGUGUCCACUUCUUCCUCUCAAGCUCAGACCUGACACUUGACGUCUUUCCCGUGUGGUGUUAGAGAGUUCCCAUCACAGCUGGGAACUCAAAUGGUUGAUCAGUGAGUCUGACGUUGUGGCUGUUCUCACUAGAAUGACCAUUGCGGCAGGUGAGCUCAGCUUGUCUUGUCCCUGUUGAAAGUAAACUCUUCUUUCCAAACUACAAAAUAGUUCUUGGGUUUACUGGUUGGUUUGCUGGAAAACUUAUCAAAAGAAGCUUUUGUCUAAAGCUCUCAGGCCAGCUGUAUGUGUUUGUACGCUGGACACAUCCGUCAGGUAAGAAGAUUGGCUAGGGAGUUCCCUGGUGGCCUAGCCAGUCGAGCAUCCUGUAUUGUCACAGGUUUGAUCCCUGGCCCAGGAACUUCUGCAUCUGCAGGGGUGUCCCCCCCAAAAAAAA